UGGGGAAUAUUGGACAAUGGGCGAAAGCCUGAUCCAGCCAUGCCGCGUGAGUGAUGAAGGCCUUAGGGUUGUAAAACUCUUUCGCCGGGGAAGAUAAUGACGGUACCCGGAGAAGAAGCUCCGGCUAACUUCGUGCCAGCAGCCGCGGUAAUACGAAGGGAGCUAGCGUUGUUCGGAAUUACUGGGCGUAAAGCGCACGUAGGCGGGCUAUUAAGUCAGGGGUGAAAUCCCGAGGCUCAACCUCGGAACUGCCUUUGAUACUGAUAGUCUUGAGAUCGGGAGAGGUGAGUGGAAUUCCUAGUGUAGAGGUGAAAUUCGUAGAUAUUAGGAAGAACACCAGUGGCGAAGGCGGCUCACUGGCCCGAUACUGACGCUGAGGUGCGAAAGCGUGGGGAGCAAACAGGAUUAGAUACCCAAGUAGUCCCUGAGCGGGCUGGCAAGGCGCAU
This 447-nucleotide ribosomal RNA is filed under the name uncultured bacterium. RNAcentral's name for it is "bacterial SSU rRNA". It matches the Rfam family "Bacterial small subunit ribosomal RNA", at positions 355 to 825 of the family's 1533-position model. The record is from RNAcentral.